CAGUAGCCGCGGGAAUACGUAGGUGGCAAGCGUUGUCCGGAAUUAUUGGGCGUAAAGGGCUCGCAGGCGGUUUCUUAAGUCUGAUGUGAAAGCCCCCGGCUCAACCGGGGAGGGUCAUUGGAGACUGGGAAACUUGAGUGCAGAAGAGGAGAGUGGAAUUCCACGUGUAGCGGUGAAAUGCGUAGAGAUGUGGAGGAACACCAGUGGCGAAGGCGACUCUCUGGUCUGUAACUGACGCUGAGGAGCGAAAGCGUGGGGAGCGAACAGGAUUAGAUACCCCUGUAGUCCCUGUCUCUUAUAC
RNAcentral lists this ribosomal RNA (301 nucleotides) under uncultured bacterium. RNAcentral's name for it is "partial 16S ribosomal RNA". It matches the Rfam family "Bacterial small subunit ribosomal RNA", at positions 509 to 807 of the family's 1533-position model. The record is from RNAcentral.